GUGUAGACCUGCCAGAGGGAUGCAUCUGUGGAUACCAACUCUACAGCUGGAACUUCUGAGUUUGCGGGUUCUGCACCAGUGGGCAGCAAAUGAAAAGUUCCAGAGGUUUAUACACUCUCCGAGUUGGACUCAGAAAUACAAGUCAUCAUUUGCUCCACUCAUCAGCCUAUGCCAUAAAUGCCUGAGAUUUUGCUACCGUUGACCAACGCUGUUUACGAACACCCAACUCCACCCCUUCAGCUUUUGGCUACCAGUCUACAAUCUACUUGUAGGAGUCGGGCUCUUUCAAGGUUGCACAUGAAAAUAAGAUGCCAUACGUGAGCGGACCACGUAAGAUGUAGCACUCUCAGCUUCAGCACCACAUCUGCCUCUCCACCGCCAUGCUCCCUGUCGUGAUAACAGCCCGAACCUCUGAAGCUGUAAGCUAUCCACCCCAAAUGAAUGUGUUACUUUA
This is a long non-coding RNA of Mesocricetus auratus (golden hamster), 454 nucleotides long. RefSeq lists it as uncharacterized. NCBI's taxonomy places the organism in Eukaryota, Metazoa, Chordata, Mammalia, Rodentia, Cricetidae. The transcript has 3 exons. The record is from RefSeq and is a predicted model, not a curated record.